Molecule: ribosomal RNA, 270 nt
Filed under: uncultured archaeon
Lineage: Archaea
Description: partial 16S ribosomal RNA
Rfam family: Archaeal small subunit ribosomal RNA
Source: RNAcentral
CAGCUCUCCGAGUGGUAGGGAUGAUUUUUGGGCUUAAAGCGUCCGUAGCCGGCUUAGCAAGUUUCCUGUUAAACCCAGCGACUCAAUCGUUGGAUCGCGGGAAAUACUACUAGGCUAGGAGGCGGGAGAGGACUACGGUACUUCUGGGGUAGGGGUGAAAUCCUAUAAUCCCGGGAGGACCACCAGUGGCGAGGGCUGUUGACUAGAACGCGCUCGACGGUGAGUGACGAAAGCUGGGGGAGCUAACCGAAUUAGAGACCCGAGUAGUCC